This 449-nucleotide ribosomal RNA is filed under the name uncultured bacterium. RNAcentral's name for it is "partial 16S ribosomal RNA". It matches the Rfam family "Bacterial small subunit ribosomal RNA", at positions 30 to 523 of the family's 1533-position model. The record is from RNAcentral.
AUUGAACGCUGGCGGAAUGCUUUACACAUGCAAGUCGAACGAAGCCUCCGGGCUUGGUGGCGCAGGGGGGGGUAACGGGGGGGAAUCUGCCCUGGGGUGCGGAAUAACGGUUAGAAUUACCUGCUAAUACCGGAUGAUGUCUUCGAACCAAAGUUUUAUCGCCCAAGGAUGAGCCCGCGAAGGAUUAGGAAGUUGGUGGGGUAAUGGCCAACCAAGCCGACGAUCCUUAGCUGGUCUGAGAGGAUGAUCAGCCACACUGGGACUGGGACACGGCCCAGACUCCUCCGGGAGGCAGCAGUGGGGAAUAUUGGAAAACGGGCGAAAGCAUGAUCCAGCAAUGCCGCGUGAGUGAUGAAGGCCUUAGGGUUGUAAAGCUCUUUUACCAGGGAUGAUAAUGACAGUACCUGGAGAAUAAGCUCCGGCUAACUCCGUGCCAGCAGCCGCCGUAA